This 836-nucleotide long non-coding RNA is filed under the name Mus musculus (house mouse). RNAcentral describes it as "long non-coding RNA chr12:25142611-25143447". Lineage: Eukaryota; Metazoa; Chordata; Mammalia; Rodentia; Muridae. The record is from RNAcentral.
CUUGAUUGACAGGAGUUCACAGGUGAGAGGAGCCACCCACUCCUCACUCUGGAAGGAAGCCCAUUUCCAGGGGACUGCUGGCCUUUUCUGAGUAGGACUUGAGAGUUCAACUUUGGAGCUGUUGUCCCACGGAAGCCAGUGUGCACAUAGAAAAGUGACAGCCCCCUUGGAGAGUCUGAGGACAGUCCCUUCUCUCUGCAUCCUUCCCUUGGAGUCAGCUCAGAUAAUCUGAGGACAUAGAUCUUUCUCAUCGCCUCAUGUGACCAGAAGGAAGCCUGUUCGAGCUGUUACUUAUCUCCUUCCUGUGGGAUACUUGACAAUAUGAAGAGUUUAUUUGGGCUCACAGGUAAUAGGGGGCUUUGGAGAAAUCAAGACCACCAAUUCAUGGUGAGCAUUCAGAAGUAUUUAGAGAUCAGGGGCUAGGAAUUAAAUCUGGAGCCAGUAUGCUCAUCCAGAGCGUCACCGGUUUUCCUUUUCACUGUCUUUUCAGACAGGGUCUCAUCAAGUUGCCCAGGCUGGCUUGGAGCCCAGCUUGGUACUGAACUUGGGAUCUCCAUACCUCAGUUUCCAGACUAGUUUGGAUGACAAACCUGGUGGGCUGAUGCCAGAUUAAGUGCUGAUAUGUCUCUAUAUUUUCCAGAAAGCUUUAUAAUCCCCACUGACUGGCCCAGCUCUGUGCCUCAGCUAGAAUGUAGCAGAACCCUGCCUCAUCGGGAAGCCCAAGGAGUGAGCAGAGCCCUGCUAUUCCAGUAUUUCCUCCUGAGGCUACAGUUCCAGCACUCCAGGAGGAAGGAUGAUGUCUGGAGAGGCACAAAGGCGUUUUCUGUUCUGGGUAA